This 253-nucleotide ribosomal RNA is filed under the name uncultured bacterium. RNAcentral's name for it is "partial 16S ribosomal RNA". It matches the Rfam family "Bacterial small subunit ribosomal RNA", at positions 524 to 776 of the family's 1533-position model. The record is from RNAcentral.
UACGAAGGUCCCAAGCGUUAUCCGGAUUUAUUGGGUUUAAAGGGUGCGUAGGCGGGCUAUUAAGUCAGUGGUGAAAUCUCCGAGCCUAACUCGGAAAUUGCCAUUGAUACUGAUGGUCUUGAGUACAUUUGAAGUGGGCGGAAUGUGUCAUGUAGCGGUGAAAUGCUUAGAGAUGACAUAGAACACCUAUUGCGAAGGCAGCUUACUACGCCUAUAUUGACGCUGAGGCACGAAAGCGUGGGGAUCAAACAGG